Molecule: ribosomal RNA, 458 nt
Filed under: uncultured bacterium
Lineage: Bacteria
Description: bacterial SSU rRNA
Rfam family: Bacterial small subunit ribosomal RNA
Source: RNAcentral
AUGCGACGGAAGUGAAGUUUCGGAUGGAGCAGAAGAUGCAUGUCUAGCGGCGGACGGGUGAGUAACGCGUGGGCAACCUGUCCUUCACAGGGGGAUAACACAGCGAAAGUUGUACUAAUACCGCAUAUGACCACGGUAAGACAUCUUACAGGGGUCAAAGGAGCAAUCCGGUGAAGGGUGGGCUCGCGUCCGAUUAGAUAGUUGGUGAGGUAACGGCCCACCAAGUCGACGAUCGGUAGCCGACCUGAGAGGGUGAUCGGCCACAUUGGGACUGAGACACGGCCCAAACUCCUACGGGAGGCAGCAGUGGGGAAUAUUGGGCAAAAUGGGGGGAACCCUGACCCAGUAACGCCGCGUGAGGGAAGAAGGUUUUCGGAUCGUAAACCUCUGUCCUUGGUGAAGAGGAAGAGACGGUAGACCAAGGAGGAAGCCCCGGCUAACUACGUGCCAGCCGCCGC